This 93-nucleotide ribosomal RNA is filed under the name Lactobacillus delbrueckii subsp. bulgaricus. RNAcentral's name for it is "partial 16S ribosomal RNA". It matches the Rfam family "Bacterial small subunit ribosomal RNA", at positions 1449 to 1533 of the family's 1533-position model. RNAcentral also lists the same sequence under 1 other name. Lineage: Bacteria; Bacillati; Bacillota; Bacilli; Lactobacillales; Lactobacillaceae. The record is from RNAcentral.
UCAGCCGCCUAAGGCAGGGCAGAUGACUGGGGUGAAGUCGUAACAAGGUAGCCGUAGGAGAACCUGCGGCUGGAUCACCUCCUUUCUAAGGAA